ACGAAAAAUAACGAUACGGGACUCAUCCGAGGCCCCGUAAUCGGAAUGAGUACACUCUAAAUCCUUUAACGAGGAUCAAUUGGAGGGCAAGUCUGGUGCCAGCAGCCGCGGUAAUUCCAGCUCCAAUAGCGUAUAUUAAAGUUGUUGCGGUUAAAAAGCUCGUAGUCGAAUUUGUGUCCCGCGCCGCCGGUUCAUCGCUCGCGGUGUCAACUGGCGUGUCCGCGGGACGUCCUGCCGGUGGGCUUAGCUCCUCGCGGGCGGCCCAAUCUCAAUCCCACCGCGGUGCUCUUCAUUGAGUGUCGAGGUGGGCCGGCACGUUUACUUUGAACAAAUUAGAGUGCUUAAAGCAGGCUAAAAUAUCGCCUGAAUACUGUGUGCAUGGAAUAAUGGAAUAGGACCUCGGUUCUAUUUUGUUGGUUUUCGGAACCCCGAGGUAAUGAUUAAUAGGAACGGAUGGGGGCAUUCGUAUUGCGACGUUAGAGGUGAAAUUCUUGGAUCGUCGCAAGACGGACAGAAGCGAAAGCAUUUGCCAAAAACGCUUUCAUUGAUCAAGAACGAAAGUUAGAGGUUCGAAGGCGAUCAGAUACCGCCCUAGUUCUAACCAUAAACGAUGCCAGCUAGCGAUCCGCCGACGUUCCUCCGAUGACUCGGCGGGCAGCUUCCGGGAAACCAAAGCUUUUGGGUUCCGGGGGAAGUAUGGUUGCAAAGCUGAAACUUAAAGGAAUUGACGGAAGGGCACCACCAGGAGUGGAGCCUGCGGCUUAAUUUGACUCAACACGGGAAACCUCACCAGGCCCGGACACCGGAAGGAUUGACAGAUUGAGAGC
Molecule: ribosomal RNA, 827 nt
Filed under: Anomiopus sp. sp107
Lineage: Eukaryota; Metazoa; Arthropoda; Insecta; Coleoptera; Scarabaeidae
Description: SSU rRNA
Rfam family: Eukaryotic small subunit ribosomal RNA
Source: RNAcentral